AUGGCACAAAGAUCCUGCAGCAGACACUCACCAUCUGUGACAAUCACGUUAAAUUCCCAGGAUGACGCAGGAAGGAAAGUCCUGUCCAGAGCACAGCUGUACCAUCCUGAGUCAGACUGUCUCAGCUGUGUGAUGGUCACAAACAGAAUGACUCCUCUACCAAACUCUCUUGUAUAUUCUAUGCUGUAUCUGUCAUUUGUAGCUGAGUCAUCUUCUGUUCUAACAAGAACGUCUCCUUCAUCACACUGUCCCUUACAGAACAACUUCCAGCUUCCAGAAAGAGUAAAGGAACAUGCAACAGUUAGAUCUCCUCCAGUCCUGGUGUAGAUGGGCCUUCCUGCAGGAUCGUAGUCUCCUUCCAGCAGUGCUGUUGGAAACACAAACAAGAGUUACUAUCUGUAUUUACAGUACUGUAGUCUGACCACAGCAAUGUGAUCCACAGUCACACUGGGAGCUUCCCAGUUCACCCAGUCUGUGACUGCACCAGUUCACAGAAACUCACCAUCAACAACAGUGAUUCCAAACUCCACAUAUGGAGCUGAUGACACCCCACACCUGUACCGUCCUGAGUCAGACUUGAUCAGCUCAGUGAUGCUCACAGAAAAAUGUCCUCCUUCAUAUUUGAUGCUGUAUCUGCCGCUGUGAGCUCUGACAUCAGUAGUUUGGAUGAGAAUGUUCCUGUUACAGGGAUCCUUACAGAACGUCUUCUGGCUUGUCUGAAAAGACUCAGAACAUUUCACUGUGAUUUGUCCUCCUGUAGUUCCUAUAUAGGUGAUGCUUUGUGCUGUGCUUCUGUCCUGCAGAGCUGUGGAGACAGUCAACAACCAGUAGUUAAUACCUGUACUUCACACUGGGAGCUGCCCAGUUCACCCAGUCAGUGACUGCCCUUAUAAAAAAGAGUUUUAUACAAGUUUACUAUGAGUAUACUUCUUUUAAACUUAAAUUAGGAAAAUAUACUGCAGUUUACUUUGUGUGUACUUAUCAGAGACAUACAAAACAAAAUGAUAGUGUACAUUUAUAGUAUACUACACAGCAUACCAGUGUGUGGGUAGACUGGAGAGAUUUCCCAGCAUGCCCCAAGGAUAGAAAGUGUGUAUUUUCAUAUUAUUCAGUUCUGUUCCUUUUGUGGUGUGUGUAUGUGAGACAGCGUAUGUGAUUGUUAUUUCAUUAAUGUUGAACUUAUUUUGACCUGCUUGUCAGAUUAAAAGAGAAGCUGUUCAAACUGUGAAGUUGUCAUAUCUUUCCAUCCAGGCCAGUACCUGAUAUACUGCAGUUACACAUAGUUGCUAUGUCUUAUUGCUGAAGACAUAUACUUCUUUAAACAAAAAAAAAGGGAAGCAUAUAAUUGGUUCCAGUAGGUUCAAUACACAGUACAGUUGAAGUGCAUAGAUAUAAACAAUUUGUGUACUCAUACUUUACUACACUUAUACAUAAUAAAUAAAAAAAUACUUUUAGGUAUGAACAAUUGGCCAAUUUAGUCCCAAGAGGUCUUAAAUGGUACUCUUAGAGUACUGCUACAUUGAUAUUAGUAUACUUAUGACUGAAACUUCAUUUUAGUUUACUCCAUAAAAUAAACUUUAAGUAUAUUUAUUUUUGGUAAGCUUGUCUUCUCCUUUUCUCUGCUCAUACCCCAGUUAGUUUGUCGAAAAUGGAGAGUGUGUGUGUGUGUCACGUCAGUAAACACGUAAAGUUAAGACACAGCACAGCAGCUCAACGACUUUCAUCAUCUUCUCUUUUGCCAAGUUCCCAUUUCUCAGAACAGACAGCACCUCUCAGUCAGACCUGAGCUUUGAGCCUGAAUGGACAAUAAAAUAAGCAUCUAAAAAGAUGACCCUGGACUAUGGUGAGUUUUAACCCCAACUCUGAGACAAAAGAAAAGGUUGGUGAAGUGAUGGUGAGAACAACUAACGGUGAAAUGGAAAAGCAGCAGCUUUUGUGUAGCUCACAGCUGACUGAUCCUCACCUUUAACCCCAUGAACCAAAUAUGAUAAAGACAGAAAAGUCAGAACAGAGUGGACAUACUCACAGAGGAAGAAGAGACCGAUCAAAGUAUGAAGAGGUUUCAUGUUGAGAAUUCUCUCUUUCUUCUUCACUGACAAACCAGGAACUCUUCACUUCUCUAAAUGAUGGAGUCCACUCACAGCUCCAGGCUCCUCCCCCUCUGCACCAGGUUUUAACCCAGAACUGAAACUGCCCAUCAUAAAGUUUCUAAAGAUCGUUUAUUCAUCGUGUUUUAUUGGAGUGUGUUGGGAUCAGGGGCACUGCACUAGACUCAUCAGCAGCCCCACUGAGCUGUGGUGUUCCCAAAGGAUCAGGGGGGACUGGUAAGUGGAGGUGUAUUGACAGGUUAUGACCAAGAGAUGUCUACAUCUACAUCUAGAGGCAUUGCAAUAACCAAAAGAAAUAAGUCAUUCAGUCAUGACUUUAUCAAAUGAGCAACAUCUCAGUAGUCAGGACUUUUCUCUGUUGAUCAGAUCAUGAGAAGCACAUAGCAUUUUAGUUUUGUCUUGGUUCACUUCUUGUCGUUUUAUUUCAGGGUUAAGACAAAAAAUAAUCUCAUGCUUGCUACAGACAUGAUCAUAUCAACUUUCUUAACCCUCUCUUCACUGCAUAUCAGUCGGCUGUAUAAAUACCUUUAAGAGUUAACCGAUUUAAAGCAGUCCAUGGUCUGGACCAUAACUACAGAGACAGAGCUCAGCCUCGUGUCCUCAGGCAGAAAAGUUUCAGCAGACAGGAAUCUGUCAAAUCAACCAGCCUGAACACACAUCUCACCUGUGUCAUAUUCUGUUACAUUGCUGCCACCUGCUGGACCAGUCAGUUAUAGCACUGUGCUGGAAACCUCUAAACCUUUCCUUUGGAACUGAAAAAACAAACCAUUCUUUCUCAGCUCUUUAAGAUCUCUCCCCUCCCUGAUCCACAGACUACCACCUGCAUUCCACUGACACUGCUGUUUCUGACUCCUCACAUUAUCUGGUUUAAUGCUUUCCUACGAUAAUACAUGCAUUGUCAUUAGGUUUGUGUGGCAACCAGUGGUCUGUUGGACUGACCAGUACAUAUUGUGCUAUUUCUAGGCAUCCUCACUUCUGGUUGUCCUCACUUACUGGUCCACUGCGUGAGGUUUUAAGAAGCUAUGUUGGUGCUGGGCUUCUAAAUGGAUAAAACAGUGGAAACAGCAACACAGUCAUAGAGUUUGAUGAAAGUGAAACUGAGGCGUCUCUGACUGAAAAGGAAAUGACAAGUGUUCACAGUCAGAAGUGAAGGACAAACAGCAGUGAGUGAAAAGUUAAACUCAGUAUCAUCUGUUUGUUUAUCACCAAUUCACUGACUAUGAGCUGAUAGAAUGUCUUUCUAUCAGCCUGAUAAACAACUGCCUGGAAUAAUAAGAUCAACUUUAUUCUAAGAAUAUGAGCAGUGAUCAAUAAAACACUGGAAGCCAACUGAACAGAAACAUCUACUGAUUAUAGAUUCACACACAUCAUCAUCUAUCAAUUCUUCCUGCUAUCCAGGGUCACAGGGGGCAGGACCCAAUCCCAGCAUGCAGUGGGUGAGAGGCAGGUCACAUCUACGGGCAAUUUAGAGUCACCAACCAACCUAACCUGCAUGUGUUUGGACUGUGGGAAGAGAAAACACACAGACACAGGGAACACAUGCAGACUCCACACAGAAAGGCCCCGGGUCCACCAGUGUUCAGAUCUGCAACCUGCUGCUGUGACGAGACAGUGUGACACACCACAAUCUUCACAUCAUCACAAUCUUAGCACGUGAAAAACAAAAUCCAUGUCCAAAACAGGAAGUCAAGAAUCCAUCAUGAAACUAAAGACAUAGUAACACACACUGUGUUUUCUGCAGCCAGGUAUGUUCCCAUUGAGCUGCAGUUUCAUGUCUGCUUGAUUUUUCAUGUAAAAGUCAAUAACGCAAAACUGGAAAACUGAACCCACUUUUCUGCUGCUGUAGAAUUUAGACCUGCCCAAUGAGCCCAGUAGCAUUUGGAUAACCAGUGGAUUGCUGGGCUUGGGUUGGGUGUGAGCUAAAUACUGUCUCCAGGUCACAGUUCUGAGCUGGAGCUGAGCUGGAAGGCAAAGGUUACAGUUUAUCAGCUAAGCCAUCCACCUGUGGUCAGGGGCUGUGGGUGGUGAGCCAGAGACUGAGCUGAAAUGAGUUUCCCCUGUCAGGCUUCAGGGCUCAGUCUCAGAGGAUGAGGAGCUCAAACGUCUUUUGAAAAGAGCCAGGUGAGUCAGGUGUCUGAGUAGGAUCCUCCAGGGUAACUUACACUAAAGCUUUUCUGGGCAUGGCCACCUGGUAGGAGACCCUGGGCCAACCCAGAAUAUGCUGCAGAGACUGUCUAUCUAACCUGGCCAGGGGGUGGGUGCCUCAGGCUUCUCCAGGAGGAGCUGGAUAACAAUGAGAGGAACAUCUGAGACAACCUGCUGAACCUACUGCCACUGAUUUCAGAUAAGCAGCAGAAAAAGCAUGAAUAAUUAUAAAUUCACAUUCACAGAUAGAAAGUCAGAUUUUAUUAAAUCGAAUUCAAUUUUUGAUUAUUGAUGAUGGAACUGGAAAAAUCAAUCUGACCAAUAUUACACCGACCACGCUGAGUCUUCCAGGUACAGAACCACAAAGCUUCAUGCGUGCUUUGUCUGUGUGAGAGUGGAGUAGAUCUGGUCCUUGUCCCUGGUAGCUGGGUGGAGGCUCAGGUAGGUGAAAGCUUCGCCUGUGGAGACUGGAGGUUGGUUCUCAUAAUCCAAGCUGUCAAUCUACAAAACAGCCAAACAUUUGACAGAAUAAAAGCACAGCUCAAAACAGUGAGAGACUUUAAAAUUGUUUCCAGGUCAGUAAGCCAACAGGUUUGUACAUGAGAGACAAGACCAACUUUCUCUACUUAGCUGAAAAUACUAGAAACAGAAGAAAGUGCAUUGCAACUGUUUCUGUUCGAGCUGAGCUACAUUUCCAGAUGCAGCGUCUCUCCUUGAACACUGGACACUGAAAUAAGAAUCAGCUCAAACAGUACAGUAAUGAAAGAAUCCUCACUUGAUUGGAUUUAUUUUAGUCAACACCAAUCAGUAAACAACAUGUCAGGAUCUGUCCUGGUACAAAUCCUCAGGACAUGAUCACUAUGUUCACUGUUAAAAACCAGAAUUUCAGCAAC
Molecule: long non-coding RNA, 5146 nt
Filed under: Mastacembelus armatus (zig-zag eel)
Lineage: Eukaryota; Metazoa; Chordata; Actinopteri; Synbranchiformes; Mastacembelidae
Description: lncRNA (ENSMAMG00000028130.1)
Source: RNAcentral